UGCCAGCCGCCGCGGUAAUACGGAGGGGGUUAGCGUUGUUCGGAAUUACUGGGCGUAAAGCGCGCGUAGGCGGGCUGGUCAGUUGGGGGUGAAAUCCCGAGGCUCAACCUCGGAACUGCCCUCAAUACUACCAGUCUAGAGUUCGGGAGAGGUGAGUGGAAUUCCUAGUGUAGAGGUGAAAUUCGUAGAUAUUAGGAAGAACACCAGUGGCGAAGGCGGCUCACUGGCUCGAUACUGACGCUGAGGUGCGAAAGUGUGGGGAGCAAACAGGAUUAGAUA
RNAcentral lists this ribosomal RNA (279 nucleotides) under uncultured bacterium. Its description in RNAcentral is "partial 16S ribosomal RNA". It matches the Rfam family "Bacterial small subunit ribosomal RNA", at positions 506 to 784 of the family's 1533-position model. The record is from RNAcentral.